AAGAAGAAAGUUCAACACUCAAUUUAGCACAUGAAACACUAAUGUGAUGUUUAACUAGAGUCGUUUUUGCUUAUUCGUAUGGUUGAAUUGGAUCAUCAAGCUCAGCAGCAAAGACAUUGAGGUUUUGACGGAAGUGACACGAGCUCAGGGCAGAUAUUCACCAGCAGACAGAGAGAGAAAAUAAGACGGAGAAGAGAAGGGACAACUGAUGUCUAACAACGUCCGCAAAUGAAGUUGCUGAGGUGGUAUGGAUGGUUUUCCAAUCAAAUGAAAGUGAACUGAAGUGGUCUAUCGUGGCAUUGUGGGAUAUUUCUUAAUAUACGAGAUGUAAUUCUGACCUUCUUUGGUUUGAGCUCCACCGGUGUUAUCCUGG
Ctenopharyngodon idella (grass carp) is the source of this 373-nucleotide long non-coding RNA. RefSeq lists it as uncharacterized. The record is from RefSeq and is a predicted model, not a curated record. Lineage: Eukaryota; Metazoa; Chordata; Actinopteri; Cypriniformes; Xenocyprididae. The transcript has 3 exons.